GAACGAACGCUGGCGGCAGGCCUAACACAUGCAAGUCGAACGGGUACUUUCGGGUACUAGUGGCGGACGGGUGAGUAACGCGUGGGAACGUGCCCUUUGGUUCGGAAUAGCCCUGGGAAACUGGGAGUAAUACCGGAUGAGCCCUACGGGGGAAAGAUUUAUCGCCAAAGGAUCGGCCCGCGUUGGAUUAGGUAGUUGGUGGGGUAAUGGCCUACCAAGCCGACGAUCCAUAGCUGGUUUGAGAGGAUGAUCAGCCACACUGGGACUGAGACACGGCCCAGACUCCUACGGGAGGCAGCAGUGGGGAAUCUUAGACAAUGGGGGAAACCCUGAUCUAGCCAUGCCGCGUGAUCGAUGAAGGCCUUAGGGUUGUAAAGAUCUUUCAGUGGGGAAGAUAAUGACGGUACCCACAGAAGAAGCCCC
This 423-nucleotide ribosomal RNA is filed under the name uncultured bacterium. Its description in RNAcentral is "bacterial SSU rRNA". It matches the Rfam family "Bacterial small subunit ribosomal RNA", at positions 27 to 494 of the family's 1533-position model. The record is from RNAcentral.